RNAcentral lists this unclassified non-coding RNA (1030 nucleotides) under Hevea brasiliensis (rubber tree). The record is from RNAcentral. Lineage: Eukaryota; Viridiplantae; Streptophyta; Magnoliopsida; Malpighiales; Euphorbiaceae.
UGUUUUCAUGGGAAUGGGAGAACCGUUGAACAACUACUCUUCCCUGGUGGAUGCCAUACGAGUGAUGACAGCAUCUCCAUUUCAGAUCUCUCCUAGAAAAAUUACAGUCUCAACGGUUGGAAUAAUUCAUGCCAUUAACAAGCUCCACAAUGACAUCCCAAAUUUGAACUUGGCAGUCUCUUUGCAUGCACCGGUGCAAGAUAUCCGUUGUCAGAUAAUGCCUGCAGCAAGAGCUUUUCCUUUGGAAAAACUCAUGAAUGCACUGCAAGAAUAUCAAAAGAAAAGCCAGCAAAAGAUCUUUAUAGAAUAUAUUAUGCUUGAUGGAGUAAAUGAUGAGGAGCAACACGCCCAUCAGCUUGGGAAACUGCUAGAAGCAUUUCAAGUGGUUGUGAAUCUCAUACCUUUUAAUCCAAUUGGAUCAUUAAGUCAAUUCAUUACCAGUACAAAUCAGAAAGUCGCCAGGUUUCAGAAAAUAUUAAGGGACAUCUAUGAUAUUCGCACAACUGUUCGCAAGGAGAUGGGCCAAGAUAUAAGUGGUGCCUGUGGUCAAUUGGUGGUUAAUCUUCCAGAUAAACGCUCUAUCAGCAAUGCAGCUCCUCUAACAGACAUCGAGGAUAUUCGUAGGCAGUAGAGUUAUAGAAUUCUAUGUUAAAAGGAGAGACGAUUAGCAGCUCUAUCUACAGGAUCUAUAUUGCUUUCAGUCUCUGCAUUAAGUUGCUGUUAGUCCCUGCCAAUCUGUGGUUGUGGUUGAACUAAGUUGGAUCUCACUUUUCAGAAGGCUUUUGUGGAAAGGUCUUAAUGGAGGAGUGAAUGAUGCAUCACAAGCUCAAGGGAGAUAUAUGACGAGCUACCUUUCUAAUAUAUAUAUUUUUUCCUUUUCUCAAAUUAGGAAUGUAAUUUUUUAAAAUUAGAAAUCGCACUUCAAAGGCAUGGACGUGUACAAGAAAUUGCUUAAGGAGAUGUGUGUUCAGAAAAUAUUGUGCACAAUCAUGAAAUUGGAAGACAUCAUAAGCUAGGCUACUGAUGUUGG